GGACCUAUAGCUCAAUUGGUAGAGCAUUCGACUCUUAAUCGACAGGUUCACGGUUCGAGUCCGUGUAGGUCCA
RNAcentral lists this transfer RNA (73 nucleotides) under Heliophilum fasciatum. It matches the Rfam family "tRNA". Rfam says of the family: Transfer RNA (tRNA) molecules are approximately 80 nucleotides in length. Their secondary structure includes four short double-helical elements and three loops (D, anti-codon, and T loops). Further hydrogen bonds mediate the characteristic L-shaped molecular structure. tRNAs have two regions of fundamental functional importance: the anti-codon, which is responsible for specific mRNA codon recognition, and the 3' end, to which the tRNAs corresponding amino acid is attached (by aminoacyl-tRNA synthetases). tRNAs cope with the degeneracy of the genetic code in two manners: having more than one tRNA (with a specific anti-codon) for a particular amino acid; and 'wobble' base-pairing, i.e. permitting non-standard base-pairing at the 3rd anti-codon position. The record is from Rfam by way of RNAcentral. Lineage: Bacteria; Bacillati; Bacillota; Clostridia; Eubacteriales; Heliobacteriaceae.